UCCAGAGGGGGCGAGCGUUGUUCGGAAUUACUGGGCGUAAAGGGCGCGUAGGCGGCCCUCUAAGUCGAACGUGAAAUCCCCGGGCUCAACCCGGGAACUGCGUCCGAUACUGGAGGGCUCGAAUCCGGGAGAGGGAUGUGGAAUUCCAGGUGUAGCGGUGAAAUGCGUAGAUAUCUGGAGGAACACCGGUGGCGAAGGCGGCAUCCUGGACCGGUAUUGACGCUGAGGCGCGAAAGCCAGGGGAGCAAACGGG
This 253-nucleotide ribosomal RNA is filed under the name uncultured bacterium. RNAcentral describes it as "partial 16S ribosomal RNA". It matches the Rfam family "Bacterial small subunit ribosomal RNA", at positions 524 to 776 of the family's 1533-position model. The record is from RNAcentral.